GCAUUAGUAGCUCAGUGUUAGAGCUCCGGCCUUGUAAGCCGGCCGUCGAAGGUUAAAAUCCUCCCUCCUGCU
This 72-nucleotide transfer RNA is filed under the name Zeugopterus punctatus (topknot). RNAcentral's name for it is "tRNA-Thr". It matches the Rfam family "tRNA". From Rfam's summary of the family: Transfer RNA (tRNA) molecules are approximately 80 nucleotides in length. Their secondary structure includes four short double-helical elements and three loops (D, anti-codon, and T loops). Lineage: Eukaryota; Metazoa; Chordata; Actinopteri; Pleuronectiformes; Scophthalmidae. The record is from RNAcentral.